Molecule: long non-coding RNA, 3356 nt
Organism: Prunus dulcis (almond)
Lineage: Eukaryota; Viridiplantae; Streptophyta; Magnoliopsida; Rosales; Rosaceae
Exons: 3
Source: RefSeq, a predicted model, not a curated record
CUAAACACUGUAGCUAAGCACAGUAUAAUGACGGAAAUGCCCCUCAUUUUACUGUUGUUUUCAUUUUGUUUUUUUUUCCCAUAACAGUAAAUUGACGAAACUGCCCUCGACUAAACAGCUUCUUCUGUUCCCGUUUUUGCCCCUUCCCCUUCGUUGAGAGGGUUUCGUCCGCUCAGAGAAGUCCCCAUUUUCAGUCCGUUUUGAACCAGCUGGUUGGGGGGCAACCAUGGAAGAUCUGCAUUCAUUGUUAGACAUGCGUGGGGGGCCGUCGAUUUUUGUUUGGGAGGUGCGGUGCAAAUCCAGCCGCACUUUUAGUCUUCGUCUCACAGAUUUGUGGUUGGGAGAUUUCUCAUCCUUUCUACAGCCUUCCACUCAGACUUCCAUCUUUCUUGCUUGCGAAUUUUUGCAUCCUUUGUCUUCAGGUUUUGCAAGAUGAUAGUAGUGUAUGAGACCCUUUCUGUUUUAGUUAUUUUACUCUCAAUAUCAAACACCUUUGCUUACACAGCCUAUAUCUUUGAUUCUCGAACAAUGUUGCCAACAAAUCUGGACGGUCACGUCAGAAAUGAUUGAACUUGGGUCUGUACUUAGCAUAUUCGGAUUUCACAAAACCCUAGUAAUAAAAUGGGGUUAAAAUCCUACAAAUUCUUAAUUAAAAUUUCUCAAAAAAAAUUCGAAUCUUACAUGUUGUUCAAGUUCUCUGUCAAAAUUAAAGUGUGUCAAAUUCCCAAAGUGACCAUUACUGAUGACAUUUUUCAGACUUGAUUAGCUAGCUAUGACGAAAGUGUCAUCCGUCUUCCAUGUCAUGGCUCCCAAAUUGCUAUUAGAGACAACAACAUAGAGACUUCGAGUUAAGCUAGUGACACGGCUGGAUGCUCUGCGAGUCUCGGCUUUACGUGCUUUGCGUAAUCGUAGAUCGUUCAACUUGUUAGACAUGUUAACGAGAUUAGGCACCUUGGGAUCAUGUUAUCAAUAGCAUCGUUGAAUCCACGUUGUAGCGUUUCCACUGCUGCGUCAAAAACAACUUCAUUUAAACAAAAUGCUUUUUAUAGUUAGCCAUUAGCUUUACAGAUUCAGGAGCCAGCUUUAUACGACCGCCAAUAGACAGUUUUUCAGCGAGAGCAACCCUUGCAUAGUUUGUAGCCGUAGUUUCAACAACCGAAUGAGCAAAUGUGGAGUACAGCUUUGCAUUGUGGAUCGCUUGUUUUUUAGCAGUAUCAAACAGCCUUGCCGUAGCAGCCCGGUUUUUAGCGGCAGCUAUAACGGCAUCGAUUUCAACGGCGACUGUAGAGCCCUGUUCGUAUAGAGCUGGUUCCUGAAUCUAUAAAGCUGAUGGUUGAGUAUAAAAAGCAUUUUGUUGAAGUGGAAGUUGUUUUUGACACAGCAGUGGAAACGCUACAAUGCGCAUUCAACGAUGCUAUUGAUAACAUGAUCCCCAAGAUGCCUAAUCUCGUUGACAUGUCUGACAAGUUGAACGAACUACGAUUACGCAAAGCACGUAAAGCCGAGACUCGCAGAGCAUCCAGCCGUGUCACUAGCUUAGUCCGAAGCCUCUAUGUUGUUGUCUCUAAUGGCAAUUUGGGAGCCAUGACAUGGAAGACGGAUGACACUUUCGUCAUAGCUAGCUAAUCAAGUCUGAGAAAGGUCAUCAGUAAUGGUCACUUUGGGGAUUUGACACACUUUGAUUUUGACAGAGAACUUGAACAACAUGUAAGAUUUGAAUUUUUUUUGGGAAAUUUUAAUUAAGAAUUUGUAGGAUUUUAACCCCAUUUUAUUACUAGGGUUUUGUGAAAUCCGAACGUUCUGAGUACAGACCCAAGUUCGAUCAUUUCCGACAUGACCGUCUAGAUUUGUUGGCCAACAUUAUUCGAGAAUCAAAGAUAAAGGCUCUGCAAGGAAAGGUGUUUGAUAUUGAGAGUAAAAUAACUCAAAUUGAUGGUCGGAUUGAUGAAUUUUCAGACAAAUUGGAUGGUAUGUUAAGGAGCUUCCAUGAUAAAUGAUACAGUAUGUAUCUUAAACAUAGUGCUCUUAGCUAUGAUAAUGGGUUUUUAAAAAAAUAUGUAUUUGGCAUAAUAAAGAGCCUAGAGUGAAAAGGAACUUAAUACUUGUGCUUGGUUGUUAAUCUGUCUUGGAGUCAGCCAGUUAGGUAGGCUUACUGUUAUAUGAUUAGCUGUAAAGCUAAUUAUAAAUACUGAAGCUUAGUCUCCUAAGAUUCAUUAAGAAGUUAGAAAUCCUACUGAAAUUUGGAAAAAUUAGAAAACAGGUUAGGAACUAAUUUCAGGAAACAUAUCCUUCUCCAAAAUUGGCAGAUAAUGAAUAUUACAAAUUCCUUUAUAGCUGCCCAAAUGUCUAGGGGAGCUUUUGAACAUACUGUGCCACAUGAAAGCUCUUGAAUACAGCCCAGAAGUCGCUAAGGGUGAGUUUCAUAUAAUUUUUCCUGUGCGUUUGGUAUAAUAAAGAGCCCUAAGUGAAAAGGAACUUAAUGCUUGUGCUUGGUUGUUAAUCAGUCUUGGAGUUAGCGAGCUAGGUAGGUUUACUGUUAUAUGAUUAGCUGUUAUAUAAAUACUGAAGCUUGGUCUUGUGAAAUUCAUUAAGAAGAGAAAUCUAGGAAAUAUAAAGAGCACUUUCCUCUUUCGCUUCUGUGCUUUUUCAAUAGCUUCUCACCCAAUCCAAAUAAAUUUGGAAACUAAAAAUCUGGAAAAAUAGAAAUCCUACUGAAAUCUGGACAAAUUAGAAAUUGAUUCCUUUUUAGCGGGCCAAAUGUCUAAGAGAGCUUUUGAACAUACUGUUUCACAUGAAAGCUCUUGAAUGCGGCCCAGAAGUCGCUAAGGAUGAGUUUCAUAUAAUUUUUCCUGUGUGUUAGAAUUGCUACUUAUCUCUGUCUCUCUUUUCCUUUUUGUUAUUUCUUUCUAUAUUUGAAUUCUUUUGUUUUGAAAUUGAUUCCUCGUCAAUCUCAGCACAAAACGUGGCUAGGCUACCCAGAGUUCAUUUCUCAACUGAUGGCAUUGCUUGAUGUUCGAGUGUCAUUUUAGUUGUUUGCCAUGGUCAGCUUCUGACAUAAAUAUGCGUAAUUCAUAUAGAAUUGAGACAAGUAUGAUAUGGUGACUUUUGUGGGGGCCAAGUACUCUGGUUUUGAUAGGUAGCACUAGCCUGGACGACAUAUGCAUAGUAUAGUGAAGGCAACUUCCAAUUGAACAUAAUAGCCGAGUUGUCCUUUUAAUUGUUUGCAUACUGAAUGCUUUUACUAAGUAGGAUAUGAAUAUUUUGUAUAUGCGUUGGACGACGGAUAUGAAUAUUUUGUAUAUGCGUUGGACGACAUAUACAUAGUAAUAAUGAAGGCAACUUCCAAUUGAACAUAA